Molecule: unclassified non-coding RNA, 2394 nt
Filed under: Limulus polyphemus (Atlantic horseshoe crab)
Lineage: Eukaryota; Metazoa; Arthropoda; Merostomata; Xiphosura; Limulidae
Description: sorting nexin-8-like, transcript variant X7
Source: RNAcentral
UAUUGGUGGGCGUGUUUUCAAGUUCCUUAUUAUGCUAUUACUACUAAAUAAUAUCAAUAGGAGGAUAUCAAAGUGUGACAUCUUAGUGUAUCUCAUUCUGGACUUGAAAGAGACAUUUCACAUACCAGGACUAUUGUAUGUUACCAAAAAAGGAUAAAACAAUGGCAGCAGACCUAACUUCUGGUUCAGUCCCACAUUUCUACAGGGACAUUUAUGACAUUUUAUGUCCAGACCAGCAAACACAACUGGACCAAGACAUGUUCAUCAAACUUCUGAUGAAGUCUAGUCUUCCAAAGGAAACACUUACACGGAUAUGGGAACUGGUGGAUUGUCAUCAUGGUUACCUAACUCGCUCAGGGGUUUACAAAGCCUUAGCUUUAAUUGCUGUAAGUCAACAAGGAAAGCCAGUCAAUGAUGUCGUGCUCCAGAACUUUGGUUGCCAAGAACUCCCUCGGCCUUCCCUGGGAGACUUGUCUGAUUUGAAGGCUUUGAGUGUUCGACUAAGAAGAGAGAAAAACCCUACAAGACUAAGCAUGUCCUACCGAGAAGUCUGUUCUAGGGACAUAAUCAAAGUUACUCUGAUACCCAAAAAGAAGGGACUCAUCUUGAAACAUGUAGAAUAUGAAGUAUCUAGUCAGAGAUUUAAUUCUGUUGUCCAGAGAAGAUACAAUGACUUUGUAGUUCUACAUGAAAUGUUGUUACACAGAUUUCCAUACAGAAUGAUACCUCAGCUGCCUCCAAAAAAACUUGUCAAAACAGCUGAUGCUCACUUUAUUGAAGAACGACGAAAAGCUCUGAAGAGGUUCUUGACACUAGUAGUUAGACAUCCAAAUAUUUCUGAGGACCCACUUAUUCAUUUCUUUCUUACAUUCUUAGGUAGGGAUGUCCAACAUAAUCUUAAGGAACAAUUUCGUUCUGCACCUGAUGAGUUUUCUACUAAUAGGCUAGCUCAAACAGUUGAAGAGUUGGAUCCCCUUGACACACCUACACAAUCCAGACUAGCUCGUGACCUGAUGAAACACGUACACUCCAGUGUCAGUAAGCUCAGAGAUGCUGCAGACAGUAUUAAAGAACAAACACUAGAGGGUGCUGUGGACAUGCUGACAUUUGGAAGAGAGUUGAGCUGGCUUGCCGACAUGGCCAAUACUGACUCAGAGUGGAGUUCAGGUGGAAAUGAAACAUGGAAUCAUUUGAAGAAAGGUUUUAAAUCCCUUCAUCCUAUGUUUCCUCCUAUUUCUAAUGCACUAGCUGAACAUUCGAAGCAGGAAGAUGAGGAUGUUGUUGAAAAGCUGAAUUUGUUCUUGGAUCUUCUAAGUGCAUACAAAGAGUUACAUGAUCGCUAUGACAAUAGCAUUAACAAAAUGAAGAGAAAGUCAUCAAGUGACCUGUCUGCUCCACAGGAGGGAGAACAACAGGAGAGGAGGAAACAUUUUGCACUCCACUGCAUCUCUAUGGAAACACAACUUGUUCAUUGUUACAUGAAUAUAGUUGGUGAGAUGUUACACUCCUUAAUAGAACUGGAGACAAUCAAACACUAUAAGAUAUACGAACUAUGGAAGAACAUGCACCCUAUGGUAGAGAAUAUGAAUUCUGCUGAUGUUGUGGAAGAAAGAUUAGGAUCAGCAUCUCCAACUGGAAACAAGAGUCCCUACUUUCCUUCCAAAUGAAAUCUAUGACAAGGGUUAUUAUGUAAAUUUAAGGUCACAGCAAAUUAUUAACAUAUAUUAUUAAUGGGGAUGUGACUUCUCCCUCUUUCUUCAGAAUUCUGACCUUGAGAUUCUUCAAAGUUGAGGGGGUAGGUCAUUCAUCAAUUAUUUUCUUAUUAAAUUGUAUUAUAUCAAUGGUCCCCAAUAGGUAGCCCAUGAAAGCAUGACUGGUGGUCUACACUAUGAUUAUAUAUUGCACUGUUAAUCAUUAUAAUACUCAAGAGUAAACAAACCUGUCAUUUCCAAAAAGCUCAGGCCAAGUCUGUAUAGACAUCUUCUGAAGUGUGGCCCAUUGGGGACCACUACAUUGGUAAUUAAAGAGUAAUUUUUUUUAAUAGUGGAAAACAAAUUGGAUUGAAUAAUAAUGAAAGAACCAAUAUAUUCUAUUGUAUUUGCUCCUGAACCACAGUGGGGUUUCAGCAUUUUCCACUCAUAACCCUAUAAACAAUAGAAGUACUUCAUGUCAUAUCAACUUCAAAAGUGAUCCAGAUUCUAGGAAGAUGAUCUAUGCAGAACAGCACUUGGAGAGACUAGAGACAAUUACAAGAUUAACAGCUACAGAUAUGUGAAUUUUCUGGAGGGUAUUUGUGUAAAUUGGGUAACUUGCUGAGAAUUUCUUUAUUAGUUUGAUUUAGAUUUUGACAUUUAUUUUGUAAAUAUAUAACUUGCAAUAAAUUGUAAAAUUACA